Molecule: ribosomal RNA, 1362 nt
Filed under: Corynebacterium riegelii
Lineage: Bacteria; Bacillati; Actinomycetota; Actinomycetes; Mycobacteriales; Corynebacteriaceae
Description: bacterial LSU rRNA
Rfam family: Bacterial large subunit ribosomal RNA
Source: RNAcentral
GUUGUUUGUGGUCAAGGGCGUACGGUGGAUGCCUUGGCAUGCUGAGCCGAUGAAGGACGUGUGAGGCUGCGUUAAGCCUCGGGGAGUUGCCAACUAAGCGUUGAUCCGAGGAUGUCCGAAUGGGGAAACCUGGCACCAGUUAUGUGGUGUUACCUGCAGGUGAAUCUAUAGCCUGUAUGGGGGUGAACGCGGGGAAGUGAAACAUCUCAGUACCCGCAGGAGAAGAAAACAAUUGUGAUUCCGUUAGUAGUGGCGAGCGAACGCGGAUGAGGCUAAACCAUGUGUGUGUGAUACCUGGCAGGGGUUGCGCAUGUGGGGUUGUGGGGCGCAUCGUAAGUUAUCUGCUAGUGACUUGCUUGAUGUGGUUGUGUCAGCGGAAGCGCCUGGGAUGGUGCACCGGAGAAGGUGAUGAGUCCUGUACGCGAAGACAUAGCUGCGUUGGGUGUAUGUGUUUUCCCCGAGUAGCAGCGGGCCCGUGAAAUCUGCUGUGAAUCUGCCGGGACCACCCGGUAAGCCUAAAUACUCAGUGUGACCGAUAGUGGAUAGUACCGUGAGGGAAUGGUGAAAAGUACCCCGGGAGGGGAGUGAAAGAGUUCCUGAAACCGUGCGCUUACAAUCCGUCAGAGCACCUCAAUGUGUGUGAUGGCGUGCCUUUUGAAGAAUGAGCCUGCGAGUCAGCGGCAUGUCGCGAGGUUAACCCAGUCUGUGGGGUAGUCGUAGCGAAAGCGAAUCCGAAAUGGGUGUGUAGUGGCAUGUCCUGGACCCGAAGCGGGGUGAUCUACCCAUGGCCAGUGUGAAGCAGCUGUAAGAGGUUGUGGAGGCGCGAACCCACUUAGGUUGAAAACUGAGGGGAUGAGCUGUGGGUAGGGGUGAAAGGCCAAUCAAACUCCGUGAUAGCUGGUUCUCCCCGAAAUGCAUUUAGGUGCAGCGUUAUACAAGCUUGCUGGAGGUAGAGCUACUGGUUGGUUGAGCGGGACUAUCAUCUUAGCAAUGUCAGCCAAACUCCGAAUGCCGGUUUAAGUGGUGUAUAGCAGUGAGACUGUGGGGGAUAAGCUUCAUAGUCGAGAGGGAAACAGCCCAGAUCGCCGGUUAAGGCCCCUAAGGGUGUACUAAGUGGAAAAGGAUGUAGGAUCGCGAAGACAGCCAGGAGGUUGGCUUAGAAGCAGCCAUCCUUGAAAGAGUGCGUAAUAGCUCACUGGUCGAGUGGUUCCGCGCCGACAAUUCAGUGGGGCUCAAGUACACCGCCGAAGCCGCGGCAUAGUUUUUACUAUGGGUAGGGGAGCGUCGUGUGUGGGGUGAAGCAUUACCGUAAGGGGGUGUGGACUGCACGCGAGUGAGAAUGCAGGCAUGAGUAACGAAUGA